Molecule: long non-coding RNA, 419 nt
Filed under: Triticum aestivum (bread wheat)
Lineage: Eukaryota; Viridiplantae; Streptophyta; Magnoliopsida; Poales; Poaceae
Description: long non-coding RNA (TAES_LNC002118)
Source: RNAcentral
ACAUGGACACAUGAAAAAAAAAUAUUUACUUGUGUGCAGGUCGAGGACAACACCGUGACAUACAGACUCACAUUCCCUAACACAACGUACUUGGAAAGUAUCUAGAAACAGACUAUCUAGUGCAUGCAUAUGUACCCAGAACAAUAAGAAAGCAGAUAACCACUGACAGCACGGACAAAUUUUGACAGAAUACAAAUGAACCGCCGAUCAACCAGACCAAUCGACUUAUCCUGCAGCACGUAGAUCAGAGCUUAAAGGGGACGAAUCCACCGACGGAGAUGACGACGAGGAAGAGCAGCACGUAGAUCAAAGCUUAAAGGGGACGAAUCCACCGGCAGAGAUGACGACGAGGAGCAGCAGGUAGUUCAGAGCUUAAAGGGGACGAAUCCACCGACGGAGAUGACGACGAGGAGCAGCAG